GAGCGAGAAAGGGUAGCAAUACCUGAGUAAAGCGGCGCACGGGUGAGUAACACGUGACUAACCUACCCUCGAGUGGGGAAUAACUUCGGGAAACCGAGGCUAAUACCGCAUAAUACCCACGGGUCAAAGAAGCAAUUCGCUUGAGGAGGGGGUCGCGGCCGAUUAGUUAGUUGGCGGGGUAACGGCCCACCAAGACGAUGAUCGGUAUCCGGCCUGAGAGGGCGCACGGACACACUGGAACUGAAACACGGUCCAGACUCCUACGGGAGGCAGCAGUGGGGAAUUUUGCGCAAUGGGGGAAACCCUGACGCAGCAACGCCGCGUGGAGGAUGAAGUCCUUCGGGACGUAAACUCCUUUCGAUCGGGACGAUUAUGACGGUACCGGAAGAAGAAGCCCCGGCUAACUUCGUGCCAGCAGCCGCGGUAAUACGAGGGGGGCGAGCGUUGUUCGGAAUUAUUGGGCGUAAAGGGUGCGUAGGCGGUUUGGUAAGUCUUGUGUGAAAUCUCUGGGCUCAACUCAGAGUCUGCACGAGAAACUGCCGGGCUCGAGUGUGGGAGAGGUGAGUGGAAUUUCCGGUGUAGCGGUGAAAUGCGUAGAUAUCGGAAGGAACACCUGUGGCGAAGGCGGCUCACUGGACCACAACUGACGCUGAUGCACGAAAGCUAGGGGA
Molecule: ribosomal RNA, 671 nt
Filed under: uncultured forest soil bacterium
Lineage: Bacteria
Description: bacterial SSU rRNA
Rfam family: Bacterial small subunit ribosomal RNA
Source: RNAcentral